AGUGAACGCUGGCGGCGUGCCUAAUACAUGCUAGUCGCACGAAGUGGCGCACGGGUGAGUCAUAUAUAGUUUAUCUGCACUACACAGAUGAACAACAGUUGGAAUCGGCUGCUCAUACAUCAUAGUGUAGCAUGAGACUAUAUCGUAUCAGCUAGUUGGUAAGGUAUUGGCUUACCAAGGCUAUGACGCGUAACUGGUCUGAGAUGAUGAUCAGUGACAUUUGAACUGAGACACGGUCCAAACUCCUACGGGAGGCAGCAGUAAGGAAUAUUGCGCAAUGGGUGAAACCCUGACGCAGCAACGCCGCGUGGAGGAUGACACUUUUCGGAGCGUAAACUCCUUUUAUCAGGAAAGCGGUACCUGAUGAAUAAGCACCGGCUAACUCCGUGCCAGCAGCCGCGGUAAGUC
RNAcentral lists this ribosomal RNA (408 nucleotides) under uncultured bacterium. RNAcentral's name for it is "partial 16S ribosomal RNA". It matches the Rfam family "Bacterial small subunit ribosomal RNA", at positions 29 to 526 of the family's 1533-position model. The record is from RNAcentral.